CUUCCGUAGGGUUGACCUGCGGAAGGAUCAUUACCGAGUGCGGGUCCUUUGGGCCCAACCUCCCAUCCGUGUCUAUUGUACCCUGUUGCUUCGGCGGGCCCGCCGCUUGUCGGCCGCCGGGGGGGCGCCUCUGCCCCCCGGGCCCGUGCCCGCCGGAGACCCCAACACGAACACUGUCUGAAAGCGUGCAGUCUGAGUUGAUUGAAUGCAAUCAGUUAAAACUUUCAACAAUGGAUCUCUUGGUUCCGGCAUCGAUGAAGAACGCAGCGAAAUGCGAUAACUAAUGUGAAUUGCAGAAUUCAGUGAAUCAUCGAGUCUUUGAACGCACAUUGCGCCCCCUGGUAUUCCGGGGGGCAUGCCUGUCCGAGCGUCAUUGCUGCCCUCAAGCCCGGCUUGUGUGUUGGGUCGCCGUCCCCCUCUCCGGGGGGACGGGCCCGAAAGGCAGCGGCGGCACCGCGUCCGAUCCUCGAGCGUAUGGGGCUUUGUCACAUGCUCUGUAGGAUUGGCCGGCGCCUGCCGACGUUUUCCAACCAUUCUUUCCAGGUGACCUCGGAUCAGGNAGAGAUACCCGCUGAACUUAANCAUAUCAAUAAGCGGAGGAGUCAUUACCGAGUGCGGGUCCUUUGGGCCAACUCC
Molecule: ribosomal RNA, 636 nt
Filed under: Aspergillus niger
Lineage: Eukaryota; Fungi; Ascomycota; Eurotiomycetes; Eurotiales; Aspergillaceae
Description: eukaryotic LSU rRNA
Rfam family: 5.8S ribosomal RNA (bases 220-373)
Source: RNAcentral